UGUAACACUCACCACGAGGGUCCGCAGCUUCAUUCUUAAAGUCAGCGAGACCAAGAACCCACCAAUUCCGGACACGCAAGUAUUCGUAACGUUCUUCUGUUCCAAGAAAAAUGGUCUUCUUACUUCCUUGAUGGCUCACAACAUGCUCCUUUCUACUGCAGGAACACUGUAUAACUUCUGUCAAGCAUGAACUCCCCACCUCUGUUUGACAUACUUCUCUACUUUCAGAACUCAGCUGAACUAUCGCUUCUCAAGGGAGCACUCAAACUUCCUGAACAGAACCACCUUAGAUAUUGCUGGCCAGCUCAUGAAUUGUGGCUUGUGGUCCAGCUAAUCUUUCCUAGUCUAUUCAGCUAUGGCCAGAGAAGAUGUGCUUAACUUGUGGAGCCUUACUGUUUCUCUAAGGACAUUCUUCUACAUAAUGUUGCGUCAGUAGAAUAAUUUUCUCACCAAGUGAUAGCUAGGUAGGUCAGUAAAUCCUCUCCUACACCGUAGUUAUUUGCUUUAAGCCAACUUGAAGUGAACUUCUGUCUCUUCUUUAAUCUGAGAAUCUUACGUCUUCAAGCCCUGUUCACACCGCUUGUCCCAUUAGAAUAAACCUUAUUUAAGUUAGAUAUCUAGCAGAUUACCAAGGAGGAGAAGGAUCAGUGUCAAUAUCUUGUAUUUCAUAAAGCUCUAACAUUUCAAGCAUCAUCUCAUAAGUUCCUAACCCUGGUUUCAGUUUGCAUAUUUGUUGAAAAAACAAGAGAAGUUCAUUCAACAGCAUUAAAAUUCAUCCCUGCUAACAUUCGACAAAGAUUUUUUGGGAAUUAAUCAACUGCAGUGGCUCCCGAAUAAAACACUCACAAUAUAAUAUUUUAAGCCACAGCUAGCUAUUAACACUCUGAAAGAUGAACUGCAUACAUGUUUCACGAAGAUUUAUAUGAAGGACUGAUCUGAAAUAUAUAAGAGAUGCUGAUAGAGAAUUCACCUGGCUUCUAAAUGAGGCAAUACUCUCCCAGAAUUUAUUUAUUACCAAUGUAUUUCAAUUGUGAAAGAUGGUGUA
RNAcentral lists this long non-coding RNA (1045 nucleotides) under Homo sapiens (human). RNAcentral describes it as "HSALNT0373777". The record is from RNAcentral. Lineage: Eukaryota; Metazoa; Chordata; Mammalia; Primates; Hominidae.